Molecule: transfer RNA, 85 nt
Filed under: Felis catus (domestic cat)
Lineage: Eukaryota; Metazoa; Chordata; Mammalia; Carnivora; Felidae
Also listed under: 2 other names
Rfam family: tRNA
About the family: Transfer RNA (tRNA) molecules are approximately 80 nucleotides in length. Their secondary structure includes four short double-helical elements and three loops (D, anti-codon, and T loops).
Source: Rfam by way of RNAcentral
GCCUGGGUAGCUCAGUGGGCUGAGCAUCUGACUUCGGCUCAGGUCAUGAUCUCAUGGUUCGUGGGUUCGAGCCCCACAUCAGGCU